This 253-nucleotide ribosomal RNA is filed under the name uncultured bacterium. RNAcentral's name for it is "partial 16S ribosomal RNA". It matches the Rfam family "Bacterial small subunit ribosomal RNA", at positions 524 to 776 of the family's 1533-position model. The record is from RNAcentral.
UACAGAGGUCUCAAGCGUUGUUCGGAUUCAUUGGGCGUAAAGGGUGCGUAGGUGGCGCUGUAAGUCGGGUGUGAAAUUUCGGAGCUUAACUCCGAAACUGCAUUCGAUACUGCGGUGCUUGAGGACUGGAGAGGAGACUGGAAUUCAUGGUGUAGCAGUGAAAUGCAUAGAGAUGUGGAGGAACACCGAUGGCGAAGGCAGCCUCCUGGGCCAGCACUGACGCUCAUGCACGAAAGCGUGGGGAGCAAACAGG